Molecule: ribosomal RNA, 514 nt
Filed under: uncultured bacterium
Lineage: Bacteria
Description: bacterial SSU rRNA
Rfam family: Bacterial small subunit ribosomal RNA
Source: RNAcentral
GAUCAUGGCUCAGGAUGAACGCUAGCUACAGGCUUAACACAUGCAAGUCGAGGGGCAGCAUGUGGUUGCUUGCAACCAAUGAUGGCGACCGGCGCACGGGUGAGUAACGCGUAUCCAACCUUCCCCUUAGUAGGGCAUAGCCCGUAGAAAUGCGGAUUAAUACCCUAUGUUGUAUAUUGAGGACAUCUGAUUUAUACCAAAGGUUCACCGCUAAGGGAUGGGGAUGCGUCUGAUUAGGUAGUCGGCGGGGUAACGGCCCACCGAGCCUACGAUCAGUAGGGGUUCUGAGAGGAAGGUCCCCCACAUUGGAACUGAGACACGGUCCAAACUCCUACGGGAGGCAGCAGUGAGGAAUAUUGGUCAAUGGACGAGAGUCUGAACCAGCCAAGUAAGCGUGCAGGAUGACGGCCCUAUGGGUUGUAAACUGCUUUUAUACGGGGAUAAAGUGACCCACGUGUGGGUUUUUGUAGGUACCGUAUGAAUAAGGACCGGCUAAUUCCGUGCCAGCAGCUGC